UACGAAGGGGACUAGCGUUGUUCGGAAUCACUGGGCGUAAAGCGCACGUAGGCGGAUUCGUAAGUCAGGGGUGAAAUCCCGGGGCUCAACCUCGGAACUGCCUUUGAUACUGCGGGUCUUGAGUCCGAUAGAGGUGGGUGGAAUUCCUAGUGUAGAGGUGAAAUCCGUAGAUAUUAGGAAGAACACCGGUGGCGAAGGCGGCCCACUGGAUCGGUACUGACGCUGAGGUGCGAAAGCGUGGGGAGCAAACAGG
Molecule: ribosomal RNA, 253 nt
Filed under: uncultured bacterium
Lineage: Bacteria
Description: partial 16S ribosomal RNA
Rfam family: Bacterial small subunit ribosomal RNA
Source: RNAcentral